This is a long non-coding RNA of Anopheles stephensi (Asian malaria mosquito), 1749 nucleotides long. RefSeq lists it as uncharacterized. The transcript is spliced from 2 exons. Lineage: Eukaryota; Metazoa; Arthropoda; Insecta; Diptera; Culicidae. The record is from RefSeq and is a predicted model, not a curated record.
UGAAAAACGAAGGCAAAACAAAAGCGAUUAUCAACUCAGCAUGGUUUUGACGUUUGAGUGACGUUUGCCGGUUUGACAGUUGAAAUAUACAACUGAUAUGGAAUUUUCACGGACAAUGAUCAGCAUUAGGAGGAUUAUUAUCGCCAUCAAGGGACUGCUUCAGAGGGAUGGAUUUCUUUGUCUUCUCUUCGAUCUGGUGCUUCUGAGAGUCAUGCGAGACCAUCAUAGAGGGAAACUUCGGGAACCAUUUUCUAUAACUCCAUCCAGAUUCUGGUACUUCGACAUCAGGGGCAAAAUUUACAUCCGGUCUUUCCAAUUCCUUGGCUUCGCGGAAGACAUCGACAUCAUCGGACGGAUAUCUGCGGUGCUGUGCGAGGCGUAUAUUCGAGGCUGAUAGAAUUGGAUGGAGGAUCAAUUCGUUGAAGACAAAGUACCUGCUUGUCGUAAGAUCUAACCGCGAUGCAGCCUCGGACUCGGAAGACUCGGAAGCAGAGUAUUAGUUGACGGCGACAAUCUUGAGGUAGUAGAGGAGUUCUGCUACAUUGACACGAUCGUAACUUCGGACAAUAACGUAAGCAGCGAAAUUCGAAGGCGCAUAGGAAGCGAAGAGGAGCACAGUGAGCUAGUUGGCUGGAUCAAGUGGAGUCAGAUCUGAGGGAGAUCGGAUGCAGCCGGAGAUGGAGGAGUGCAUCCAUGGACUGAGUUUCCUGGAAACUGAUUGGACAUCCGGCCAUAUCUUUUAGACGUGCUUUAUAGGAGCAGGCCAAGAAAUAAGAAGAAGAUUCUGGUACAGGUUGAUGAUAUGGACAAUGAUGUCCAUGAUGAUACUAGAAGAUGGUUACCAAAGGAUUCCAGGUAAUUUCUCCAAGAGCGAUUAUCAUGCUGAUCAUUUAGGGAGGAACGGUCCGAUGUUCCAAGCGGUAGUGGCGACGGUCUUCACGCGGCAGGACCGAGGAUCAAAUGGAGAUGAAGCAUCCGUCAGAGAAGUCGCGAGAUAUUGGAGAGGCGGACGACAGGUAUCGAGGACAUCUGGAACAGGUUCUGCUCAUCUUAAGAUGACAUUUUCUUUCAAACUCCUUACCCACCCAUCUACCUUGUGAUAAAAUCACUACCCUUGUUCGCACGUUCGCCGUCGAAAGGUAUGUGGUAUGUGUGUCUCAAUUACUCUCUCUUUUAUUUCUUAGAAAGUACUCUAAUUUUGCAUGAGCAUUAAAGGAAUAUUAAAUGUUGCUUGUCUUCUUCCCUUUUUUCUCCUCGUCUUCUCGUUUGUCCAUGUGUAAUGUUUGCUCUUAAACGAUGGAUUGGCUAGUACUGGUUUGUUGUUGUAUAGGUGUUUACAUAUGAGAGUCAAGCAUAUGCUACAGAAUGGUCACCGCCAACGGUUUACCCCAGGCGUGCUGUUCCAGAUACCCGGUCGCGUUAUGGCGGCGUUACCUGUGAAGGGCGGCUGAGUUAGCGCAGCAGAGUUAGCGUUACACCAUCCCCGGGUAGCCUAUCCCUCUAUUCAAGUGCAAGUAGUAAAGGAGGCGGACACGCGGUACACGGUACACAGGGUGACGAUCGCGACUACAUCUCCGAUCGCUUGGUGCAAACGCAAGCAAUAUGGGCAGCAAGAGCGCUACGAAAGCGAUCGCUGAUUGUCCACCCGCGGUUUCGGCGUUGUUAGUUAGUUCGCUUGAUUAGAUCGGCAAACGUAAGGUAACUACUACUUGGGGUUUGAGAAAAGAAAAAAAAAACACUCCAAGAAAU